Molecule: ribosomal RNA, 108 nt
Filed under: uncultured fungus
Lineage: Eukaryota; Fungi
Description: 5.8S ribosomal RNA
Rfam family: 5.8S ribosomal RNA
About the family: 5.8S ribosomal RNA (5.8S rRNA) is a component of the large subunit of the eukaryotic ribosome. It is transcribed by RNA polymerase I as part of the 45S precursor that also contains 18S and 28S rRNA.
Source: RNAcentral
AACUUUCAGCAACGGAUCUCUUGGCUCUCGCAUCGAUGAAGAACGCAGCGAAAUGCGAUAAGUAAUGUGAAUUGCAGAAUUCAGUGAAUCAUGGAAUCUUUGAACGCA